RNAcentral lists this ribosomal RNA (2921 nucleotides) under Staphylococcus aureus. RNAcentral's name for it is "bacterial LSU rRNA". It matches the Rfam family "Bacterial large subunit ribosomal RNA". The record is from RNAcentral. Lineage: Bacteria; Bacillati; Bacillota; Bacilli; Caryophanales; Staphylococcaceae.
UUAAGUUAUUAAGGGCGCACGGUGGAUGCCUUGGCACUAGAAGCCGAUGAAGGACGUUACUAACGACGAUAUGCUUUGGGGAGCUGUAAGUAAGCUUUGAUCCAGAGAUUUCCGAAUGGGGAAACCCAGCAUGAGUUAUGUCAUGUUAUCGAUAUGUGAAUACAUAGCAUAUCAGAAGGCACACCCGGAGAACUGAAACAUCUUAGUACCCGGAGGAAGAGAAAGAAAAUUCGAUUCCCUUAGUAGCGGCGAGCGAAACGGGAAGAGCCCAAACCAACAAGCUUGCUUGUUGGGGUUGUAGGACACUCUAUACGGAGUUACAAAGGACGACAUUAGACGAAUCAUCUGGAAAGAUGAAUCAAAGAAGGUAAUAAUCCUGUAGUCGAAAAUGUUGUCUCUCUUGAGUGGAUCCUGAGUACGACGGAGCACGUGAAAUUCCGUCGGAAUCUGGGAGGACCAUCUCCUAAGGCUAAAUACUCUCUAGUGACCGAUAGUGAACCAGUACCGUGAGGGAAAGGUGAAAAGCACCCCGGAAGGGGAGUGAAAUAGAACCUGAAACCGUGUGCUUACAAGUAGUCAGAGCCCGUUAAUGGGUGAUGGCGUGCCUUUUGUAGAAUGAACCGGCGAGUUACGAUUUGAUGCAAGGUUAAGCAGUAAAUGUGGAGCCGUAGCGAAAGCGAGUCUGAAUAGGGCGUUUAGUAUUUGGUCGUAGACCCGAAACCAGGUGAUCUACCCUUGGUCAGGUUGAAGUUCAGGUAACACUGAAUGGAGGACCGAACCGACUUACGUUGAAAAGUGAGCGGAUGAACUGAGGGUAGCGGAGAAAUUCCAAUCGAACCUGGAGAUAGCUGGUUCUCUCCGAAAUAGCUUUAGGGCUAGCCUCAAGUGAUGAUUAUUGGAGGUAGAGCACUGUUUGGACGAGGGGCCCCUCUCGGGUUACCGAAUUCAGACAAACUCCGAAUGCCAAUUAAUUUAACUUGGGAGUCAGAACAUGGGUGAUAAGGUCCGUGUUCGAAAGGGAAACAGCCCAGACCACCAGCUAAGGUCCCAAAAUAUAUGUUAAGUGGAAAAGGAUGUGGCGUUGCCCAGACAACUAGGAUGUUGGCUUAGAAGCAGCCAUCAUUUAAAGAGUGCGUAAUAGCUCACUAGUCGAGUGACACUGCGCCGAAAAUGUACCGGGGCUAAACAUAUUACCGAAGCUGUGGAUUGUCCUUUGGACAAUGGUAGGAGAGCGUUCUAAGGGCGUUGAAGCAUGAUCGUAAGGACAUGUGGAGCGCUUAGAAGUGAGAAUGCCGGUGUGAGUAACGAAAGACGGGUGAGAAUCCCGUCCACCGAUUGACUAAGGUUUCCAGAGGAAGGCUCGUCCGCUCUGGGUUAGUCGGGUCCUAAGCUGAGGCCGACAGGCGUAGGCGAUGGAUAACAGGUUGAUAUUCCUGUACCACCUAUAAUCGUUUUAAUCGAUGGGGGGACGCAGUAGGAUAGGCGAAGCGUGCGAUUGGAUUGCACGUCUAAGCAGUAAGGCUGAGUAUUAGGCAAAUCCGGUACUCGUUAAGGCUGAGCUGUGAUGGGGAGAAGACAUUGUGUCUUCGAGUCGUUGAUUUCACACUGCCGAGAAAAGCCUCUAGAUAGAAAAUAGGUGCCCGUACCGCAAACCGACACAGGUAGUCAAGAUGAGAAUUCUAAGGUGAGCGAGCGAACUCUCGUUAAGGAACUCGGCAAAAUGACCCCGUAACUUCGGGAGAAGGGGUGCUCUUUAGGGUUAACGCCCAGAAGAGCCGCAGUGAAUAGGCCCAAGCGACUGUUUAUCAAAAACACAGGUCUCUGCUAAACCGUAAGGUGAUGUAUAGGGGCUGACGCCUGCCCGGUGCUGGAAGGUUAAGAGGAGUGGUUAGCUUCUGCGAAGCUACGAAUCGAAGCCCCAGUAAACGGCGGCCGUAACUAUAACGGUCCUAAGGUAGCGAAAUUCCUUGUCGGGUAAGUUCCGACCCGCACGAAAGGCGUAACGAUUUGGGCACUGUCUCAACGAGAGACUCGGUGAAAUCAUAGUACCUGUGAAGAUGCAGGUUACCCGCGACAGGACGGAAAGACCCCGUGGAGCUUUACUGUAGCCUGAUAUUGAAAUUCGGCACAGCUUGUACAGGAUAGGUAGGAGCCUUUGAAACGUGAGCGCUAGCUUACGUGGAGGCGCUGGUGGGAUACUACCCUAGCUGUGUUGGCUUUCUAACCCGCACCACUUAUCGUGGUGGGAGACAGUGUCAGGCGGGCAGUUUGACUGGGGCGGUCGCCUCCUAAAAGGUAACGGAGGCGCUCAAAGGUUCCCUCAGAAUGGUUGGAAAUCAUUCAUAGAGUGUAAAGGCAUAAGGGAGCUUGACUGCGAGACCUACAAGUCGAGCAGGGUCGAAAGACGGACUUAGUGAUCCGGUGGUUCCGCAUGGAAGGGCCAUCGCUCAACGGAUAAAAGCUACCCCGGGGAUAACAGGCUUAUCUCCCCCAAGAGUUCACAUCGACGGGGAGGUUUGGCACCUCGAUGUCGGCUCAUCGCAUCCUGGGGCUGUAGUCGGUCCCAAGGGUUGGGCUGUUCGCCCAUUAAAGCGGUACGCGAGCUGGGUUCAGAACGUCGUGAGACAGUUCGGUCCCUAUCCGUCGUGGGCGUAGGAAAUUUGAGAGGAGCUGUCCUUAGUACGAGAGGACCGGGAUGGACAUACCUCUGGUGUACCAGUUGUCGUGCCAACGGCAUAGCUGGGUAGCUAUGUGUGGACGGGAUAAGUGCUGAAAGCAUCUAAGCAUGAAGCCCCCCUCAAGAUGAGAUUUCCCAACUUCGGUUAUAAGAUCCCUCAAAGAUGAUGAGGUUAAUAGGUUCGAGGUGGAAGCAUGGUGACAUGUGGAGCUGACGAAUACUAAUCGAUCGAAGACUUAAUCAA